Molecule: ribosomal RNA, 443 nt
Filed under: uncultured bacterium
Lineage: Bacteria
Description: partial 16S ribosomal RNA
Rfam family: Bacterial small subunit ribosomal RNA
Source: RNAcentral
CCUACGCGUGGCAGCAGUGGGGAAUCUUGCACAAUGGGCGAAAGCCUGAUGCAGCAACGCCGCGUGAAGGAAGAAGGGUUUCGGCUCGUAAACUUCUAUCAACAGGGACGAAAGAAAUGACGGUACCUGAAUCAGAAGCCCACGCUAACUACGUGGCAGCAGCCGCGGUAAUACGUAGGGGGCAAGCGUUAUCCGGAAUUACUGGGUGUAAAGGGUGAGUAGGCGGCAUGGUAAGACAGAUGUGAAAGCCUUGGGCUUAACCCGAGGAUUGCAUUUGGAACUAUCAAGCUAGAGUACAGGAGAGGAAAGCGGAACUCCUAGUGGAGCGGUGAAAUGCGUAGAUAUUAGGAAGAACACCAGUGGCGAAGGCGGCUUUCUGGACUGUAACUGACGCUGAGGCACGAAAGCGUGGGGAGCGAACAGGAUUAGAUACCCUUGUAGUC